This 94-nucleotide transfer RNA is filed under the name Orbilia oligospora ATCC 24927. RNAcentral describes it as "Arthrobotrys oligospora ATCC 24927 tRNA". It matches the Rfam family "tRNA". From Rfam's summary of the family: Transfer RNA (tRNA) molecules are approximately 80 nucleotides in length. Their secondary structure includes four short double-helical elements and three loops (D, anti-codon, and T loops). Lineage: Eukaryota; Fungi; Ascomycota; Orbiliomycetes; Orbiliales; Orbiliaceae. The record is from Rfam by way of RNAcentral.
UCCGAUAUGGUGUAGUGGUUAACAUCGUUCGCUCUCAUUAGGAUCUCAUCCGACUUGGACCGAACAGCCCCGGGUUCGAUUCCCGGUGUCGGAA